GAGCGGGGCGCGCCCGCAUCGAAAGUCUGCUAAAUCAUCGUCCCUUGGUUAGACCCCAAGGCCCGCUCG
Molecule: transfer RNA, 69 nt
Filed under: Carapus bermudensis
Lineage: Eukaryota; Metazoa; Chordata; Actinopteri; Ophidiiformes; Carapidae
Description: tRNA-Ser
Source: RNAcentral